UAAUGGCAGCAGAGCAAGCAGCUCACACAACAAUUCUCUAUCCUCAGUCAAGUCCUGUAACACUUCCCGGGGGAUCCCUAGGCGUUCACAAGCCUGCUUUGAAAUAUAACCUCUCCAGUGUCUCCUGAGUGUUGUCC
Molecule: long non-coding RNA, 137 nt
Organism: Thalassophryne amazonica
Lineage: Eukaryota; Metazoa; Chordata; Actinopteri; Batrachoidiformes; Batrachoididae
Exons: 3
Source: RefSeq, a predicted model, not a curated record